UACGGAGGGUGCGAGCGUUAUCCGGAAUCACUGGGUUUAAAGGGUGCGUAGGCGGUCUGAUAAGUCAGUUGUGAAAUUCCUCGGCUUAACCGAGUGGACUGCGAUUGAUACUGUCGGACUUGAAUCAGGUUGAGGUAGGCGGAAUGUGACAUGUAGCGGUGAAAUGCUUAGAUAUGUCAUAGAACACCGAUUGCGAAGGCAGCUUGCUAGACCUGGAUUGACGCUGAGGCACGAAAGCGUGGGGAGCAAACAGG
RNAcentral lists this ribosomal RNA (254 nucleotides) under uncultured bacterium. RNAcentral's name for it is "partial 16S ribosomal RNA". It matches the Rfam family "Bacterial small subunit ribosomal RNA", at positions 524 to 776 of the family's 1533-position model. The record is from RNAcentral.